UGUGCUGGGCACGCGCUGCUUUUGAGCCUUCUCAAUGACAGCUGCAUAGUAUUAUCCGGCCCUCGGGCCUGGCCCGCACUUAGGAAGAGGAGGUGGUAGAAGAUGCCAACCUGGAAGGUCAAACCUGGACCUUCACCUGGGCUCCGGCUGGCAGGUGCCUUGUUCUCUGCUGCCAUCUGCUGGGUGGAACGGGGCCCUGCAUCACAGCUGGCCCCACAGUUGUGCUUCCAUUAGCUAGAAAAUGAUCAAAUCAUCGGACAAAUAUUUCCUGAGGACCUCCUUGGGCACCGAGGAUGUUGCAGUGACCUGCAAGUGGCUCUGGGGACACGGGGAUAUGCAGAUCCUGAGGCGGCCCCUGAUUUGCAGAAAUCAGCCCCAAGGCCCCCCACCCCUCCACGCGUCUGCACCAGAGACGUUGGCAUCAGGCAGCUCCAGCCCCGGCUGCUGGGGCUUGGACAAGUCGCUCGCUCCCAGAUGCUCAAGUGUCAGGUGAUGCCGUAACUGGUGUCAGGAGCCUGUGAGGGCCUCGGCCACAGCAGGAGGGUUUGAGCUGGAAGCUUGGUCCCCAGGGCAACAGCGCCCAGAUGACCACAUCACAGGGCACCACCCUCCUAAAGGAGGAACGUUAUCACUGCAGACGGGGUUCAUUCUCUCAAGAGCAGCCAAGCCCUUCCCUGGCUUCUUGCUUCCUCUUGCCAAACGAUGUCCCUCACAUGGGCUCCCACCAGGAGAACGCAUCUACCAUGUUAUGACACAGCCAGAAGCUCUUGCCAGAGGCCAAACAGAUGAAGCCAUUCCAUCUUGGACUUUUAGCCUCUCAAACUGCGAACUAAAUAAAUCUCUUUUCUUUAUAAAGUA
Ictidomys tridecemlineatus (thirteen-lined ground squirrel) is the source of this 858-nucleotide non-coding RNA. The record is from RefSeq and is a predicted model, not a curated record. NCBI's taxonomy places the organism in Eukaryota, Metazoa, Chordata, Mammalia, Rodentia, Sciuridae.